Long non-coding RNA from Scomber scombrus (Atlantic mackerel), 833 nucleotides. RefSeq lists it as uncharacterized. The transcript has 7 exons. The record is from RefSeq and is a predicted model, not a curated record. NCBI's taxonomy places the organism in Eukaryota, Metazoa, Chordata, Actinopteri, Scombriformes, Scombridae.
GCAGACGACGGUUGACCGACGAGACUGAAGAAUUAAUGUAUCCAACACCCAGGAACAGCAUGGAAAGGACUGAAGAGAUGAAGUCAAAGCCUGCCCUGCUCGGACCACCUGACUGACAUCUGCUGGUCAUGUUGGAGUUUGACACAAUGCUGUAAAAUCCAGGACUGAAGAGAUGAAGUCAAAGCCUGCCCUGCUCGGACCACCUGACUGACAUCUGCUGGUCAUGUUGGAGUUUGACAUAAUGCUGUAAAAUCCAGGACUGAAGAGAUGAAGUCAAAGCCUGCCCUGCUUGGACCACCUGACUGACAUCUGCUGGUCAUGUUGGAGUUUGACACAAUGCUGUAAAAUCCAGGAGUGGAGAAAUGACGAGUGCAGAAGCUUGAUGAUGUCUUUAGAGCUCACAUGAAUCAGCUGGUCCUGAUGAAAGGAGUUAUCCAGUAACCGUGUGGGACGAUGUUUGAUGCAGGUGAAGAUAUUUCUCCACGGCUGUCUGAUGGUGCUUUAGAUUUUUCAACCAGACACUACUUGAAGUUUCUCCUUUUUCUUCAUUGUCUUUGUUCUCUGCAGAGUUAAUCUGAAAGUCGGAGAUGAGUUUUGAUAUGUUUGCACCACUGUGUGUAAAGGUUUAAAAGGAAGAAUAAACAAUGUUUUAAAGAUAUUUCAUUUGAUAUAACGAUGUUAACUGUCACAAAAAAGUGUCUUCUGUAAUCGUAAAGAUGGAACAAUAUUUGUGUCUGGGUUUUUGUGAUCACAAUACCAUUUCUGUUACUAGUGAAAAUAUUUUUUAACAUUUGAGGAAAGUGACCUUAAAAAAACAUGAAAUAAACUUAAUC